Molecule: non-coding RNA, 26 nt
Filed under: Cricetulus griseus (Chinese hamster)
Lineage: Eukaryota; Metazoa; Chordata; Mammalia; Rodentia; Cricetidae
Also listed under: 1 other name
Source: RNAcentral
GGUCCGAGAGUAGUGGUGUUUACAAC